RNAcentral lists this ribosomal RNA (477 nucleotides) under Triticum aestivum (bread wheat). RNAcentral describes it as "partial small subunit ribosomal RNA". The record is from RNAcentral. Lineage: Eukaryota; Viridiplantae; Streptophyta; Magnoliopsida; Poales; Poaceae.
AUGUCCGUGCAGGACGCUGUUUACUCGACGAUAACUAUCAUACGAGCUAGACUUGUCUUGCUUCGGAACACCGAAUUUUGCUAUAUGCCAGCAUCACUCCCUGGGGCAGAAGGUUACCAUCAGGCUCUCUACAUUAACUCCUUCCAUGAGGAUUCGCUACUCCGCACCACCACAAAGAUGCUUGAGGACAAGGACCGUGAGAAUCGUGCCUUGCGAUUGGAACUCUUCAACACUCAAGUUGACCAUUGGGCCACCCUAACAUGGUUUGCACCCGCCGUGCAGGCUGGCUAUAUGGACAUGAGGGAUUUGUACCCUGUGCAGUCUGGUCUGCCAGAUCGUAUGGACUGGCGUGAUGUAGGAGGCAUCACCCCUCCUCGUGGACCCCGUCUACCAUCGUUUGUUGGACCCAGACCACAUCCGAGUCCUUAUGGACCGCAAGCUUCACAGAAUCGACUGUUUUUAGAUGAUCACGUCUAG